UUAAAUACCUAGUAGGAGAGACACCAUCAUCACGAAGGUGAUUUUACCAAGGCAAGGCUUAUCCAAUGAACACCAGAUGUGCUGACCCCUGCAAUUACUUCAAAUGAUAGAAACCUGAUUGAAUAAUUUGUGCUAAUCUGGUGCUGUGUUCACAAUCUUCCCUGA
This is a non-coding RNA of Arvicanthis niloticus (Nile rat), 165 nucleotides long. Lineage: Eukaryota; Metazoa; Chordata; Mammalia; Rodentia; Muridae. The record is from RefSeq and is a predicted model, not a curated record.